This 253-nucleotide ribosomal RNA is filed under the name uncultured bacterium. RNAcentral's name for it is "partial 16S ribosomal RNA". It matches the Rfam family "Bacterial small subunit ribosomal RNA", at positions 524 to 776 of the family's 1533-position model. The record is from RNAcentral.
UACAGAGGGGGCAAGCGUUGUUCGGAAUUACUGGGCGUAAAGGGCGCGUAGGCGGCCUGUUAAGUCGAACGUGAAAUCCCCGGGCUCAACCCGGGAACUGCGUCCGAUACUGGCAGGCUUGAAUCCGGGAGAGGGAUGCGGAAUUCCAGGUGUAGCGGUGAAAUGCGUAGAUAUCUGGAGGAACACCGGUGGCGAAGGCGGCAUCCUGGACCGGCAUUGACGCUGAGAAGCGAAAGCAUGGGGAGCGAACAGG